AAGUUCCCGUCCGAGGUCGGCGAGACGGCCUCACACGCCAAGUUCCCGUCCGAGGUCGGCGAGACGGCCUCACACGCCAAGUUCCCGUCCGAGGUCGGCGAGACGGCCUCACACGCCAAGUUCCCGUCCGAGGUCGGCGAGACGGCCUCACACGCCAAGUUCCCGUCCGAGGUCGGCGAGACGGCCUCACACGCCAAGUUCCCGUCCGAGGUCGGCGAGGGUUCUUUGGACCUGCCUGCCAGUGGGUAUGGCUCUUAGUGGCCAAGGGAGCCAGGGAACUUGGGAAUGUAACCCAGUUUGUGGGAAUAUUUGUGACGGCGUUUGGAGUCCAGAAUCUAAGGCCGACCUGGAACAACUUUUGGGGGGGGUCAGCCUGGCAGAUAAAUCUGCCCUGCCAUUCACCACCUACUGUAUGUAGGCAAAGAGGGUGGCCCCCACACCAGACCUCCUACCUGAGACCCACGAGGUGGUCUCACCUGCAGAGCUCUAGCACAAGACCCACAAAGUAGUCUCAGCUCCAGAGCCUCAGUCGGAGGUCACCAUGGUGACCUUCUCCUCAGAGCCCCAGAAUGAAACCCAUGAGGUGGUCUCAUCUCCAGAGCUCCAGCAUAAAGUCAAGUUUCUGUCCGAG
This is a long non-coding RNA of Ictalurus punctatus (channel catfish), 631 nucleotides long. NCBI's taxonomy places the organism in Eukaryota, Metazoa, Chordata, Actinopteri, Siluriformes, Ictaluridae. The record is from Ensembl.